RNAcentral lists this ribosomal RNA (492 nucleotides) under uncultured bacterium. RNAcentral's name for it is "partial 16S ribosomal RNA". It matches the Rfam family "Bacterial small subunit ribosomal RNA", at positions 29 to 507 of the family's 1533-position model. The record is from RNAcentral.
AGUGAACGCUGGCGGUAGGCCUAACACAUGCAAGUCGAACGGCAGCACAGUAAGAGCUUGCUCUUACGGGUGGCGAGUGGCGGACGGGUGAGGAAUACAUCGGAAUCUACUUUUUCGUGGGGGAUAACGUAGGGAAACUUACGCUAAUACCGCAUACGACCUACGGGUGAAAGCAGGGGAUCUUCGGACCUUGCGCGAUUGAAUGAGCCGAUGUCGGAUUAGCUAGUUGGCGGGGUAAAGGCCCACCAAGGCGACGAUCCGUAGCUGGUCUGAGAGGAUGAUCAGCCACACUGGAACUGAGACACGGUCCAGACUCCUACGGGAGGCAGCAGUGGGGAAUAUUGGACAAUGGGCGCAAGCCUGAUCCAGCCAUACCGCGUGGGUGAAGAAGGCCUUCGGGUUGUAAAGCCCUUUUGUUGGGAAAGAAAAGAAGCAGGUUAAUACCCCGCUGUUCUGACGGUACCCAAAGAGUAAGCACCGGCUAACUUCGUG